GAUGAACGCUGGCGGCGUGCCUAAUACAUGCAAGUCGAGCGAACAGAUGAGGAGCUUGCUCCUCUGACGUUAGCGGCGGACGGGUGAGUAACACGUGGAUAACCUACCUAUAAGACUGGGAUAACUUCGGGAAACCGGAGCUAAUACCGGAUAAUAUAUUGAACCGCAUGGUUCAAUAGUGAAAGACGGUUUUGCUGUCACUUAUAGAUGGAUCCGCGCCGCAUUAGCUAGUUGGUAAGGUAACGGCUUACCAAGGCAACGAUGCGUAACCGACCUGAGAGGGUGAUCGGCCACACUGGAACUGAGACACGGUCCAGACUCCUACGGGAGGCAGCAGUAGGGAAUCUUCCGCAAUGGGCGAAAGCUUGACGGAGCAACGCCGCGUGAGUGAUGAAGGUCUUCGGAUCGUAAAACUCUGUUAUUAGGGAAGAACAAAUGUGUAAGUAACUAUGCACGUCUUGACGGUACCUAAUCAGAAAGCCACGGCUAACUACGUG
Molecule: ribosomal RNA, 497 nt
Filed under: uncultured bacterium
Lineage: Bacteria
Description: partial 16S ribosomal RNA
Rfam family: Bacterial small subunit ribosomal RNA
Source: RNAcentral